This 253-nucleotide ribosomal RNA is filed under the name uncultured bacterium. RNAcentral describes it as "partial 16S ribosomal RNA". It matches the Rfam family "Bacterial small subunit ribosomal RNA", at positions 524 to 776 of the family's 1533-position model. The record is from RNAcentral.
UACGUAGGUGACAAGCGUUGUCCGGAUUUACUGGGUGUAAAGGGCGCGUAGGCGGGAUAGCAAGUCAGUCGUGAAAUGCCGAGGCUUAACCUCGGAGCUGCGAUUGAAACUGUUAUUCUUGAGUAUCGGAGAGGAAAGCGGAAUUCCUAGUGUAGCGGUGAAAUGCGUGGAUAUUAGGAGGAACACCAGUGGCGAAGGCGGCUUUCUGGACGACAACUGACGCUGAGGCGCGAAAGUGUGGGGAGCAAACAGG